RNAcentral lists this ribosomal RNA (300 nucleotides) under Triticum aestivum (bread wheat). Its description in RNAcentral is "partial small subunit ribosomal RNA". Lineage: Eukaryota; Viridiplantae; Streptophyta; Magnoliopsida; Poales; Poaceae. The record is from RNAcentral.
AUGGCAACGUCGUCAUCAGGUCGCUCAAGUUCGUCAGCAACCUUCGCACCCACGGGCCGUACGGGAACGCGUGCGGCGUGCGGUUCUCGCUCCCAGCGGGCGCCGGCGGCAGGAUCGUCGGCUUCCAUGCGCGGUGUGACGACCAGUACCUCCACGCCAUUGGCACCUACGUCAAGAUGGACGACCGUGCAUCGUGAUCGACCGCAAAUUCGUUUGUAUCGUGUAGCGACUGUUUUUGCUUUCAUUCAUCUAGCUAUUUCAUUUCGCUUGCUGCUUCUCAAGUCUCGACUCCGUCGAUGA